UAUGUGAUCGUCUCUCGCAUAUCAAUAAGCGGAGGAAAAGAAACUAACAAGGAUUCCCCUAGUAACGGCGAGUGAAGCGGGAAGAGCUCAAAUUUGAAAUCUUAAAGGGUUUCCCUUUACGAAUUGUAGUUUAAGGAAGUGUUUUCUGUUGAGGUUUUGGUAAAAGUUCUUUGGAAUAGGACAUCAUAGAGGGUGAGAAUCCCGUAUUUGACCUUUACUUUCAACUUUGUGAUACACUUUCAAAGAGUCGGAUUGUUUGGGAAUGCAGUCCAAAAUGGGUGGUAAAUUUCAUCUAAAGCUAAAUAUUGGCGAGAGACCGAUAGCGAACAAGUACCGUGAGGGAAAGAUGAAAAGAACUUUGAAAAGAGAGUUAAACAGUACGUGAAAUUGUCAAAAGGGAAGCGUUUGACACCAGUGUUGUUUUUCUGAAGAUCAAUUAAAGAACUGUUUAUGCUAAGCUGUUUAGACUUUAUCAGCUAUCUGUUUAGUUUUGAGCUUUUCUUUAAUGCACUUUUCAGUUAACAAGUCAACAUCAAUUUCUUUUGCUGUAAAAAAGCUUGAGGAAGGUGGCUUGAGAUUCGUCUUAAGUGUUUAUAGCCUCUUGCCUAUGCAGUCGGAGAGAUUGAGGUCUGCAGCGUAGAUCCUUCGGGGCUAAAUGCAUCUGUGCUAAGUUAUAGCAUUUUAUAGACAACUUGUUGACUAUGAUUUGUCUUGUAGCUUACUCGCUUAUGUUAUUUUACCUACGCUUAGGAUGUUGAGUAGCGACAUACGCAC
Molecule: ribosomal RNA, 774 nt
Filed under: uncultured Neocallimastigales
Lineage: Eukaryota; Fungi; Neocallimastigomycota; Neocallimastigomycetes; Neocallimastigales
Description: partial large subunit ribosomal RNA
Rfam family: Eukaryotic large subunit ribosomal RNA
Source: RNAcentral